AUACUAUUCAUGGCGGCGCAUAAGUGACAUUCUUCGACCCGUUAAGAUCGAGCAAUCGAUCGCUGUUCAAACAUUUCUUCGAUUAUAUGGAAUGGUUCCCUACUCUUACGCGAGAUUAAAACUACGCUUUAUACGGUGAAGUUAUUCGUCGAGAGGCUUGAAUGCCGGUCGCGUGUGAAUUCUUAUCUGGAACUCAUAAUAUAACUCUUUGGAACUUGACGAAACAACGGUGAAAUUACGUUACUGUUGUCGUCUGCCUCAUUUCUCGAAAAAGAGAAAAGGGAAGACGAGACGGUUAUUGCGGCUAUUGAGGAAAAGUGAUGGAAAGACGAUCGAAAAAUAAUUGCUCGAUCGAUGGAGAUGUCAAUGGAAAAAUAGGUUAUGGAACGUAUAUGUACGUAAAAUCAUAAAAAGUUAUACAUACCUGUAUAUUUAUAUUUUAGAUUAUAUUUUAUCUAGUUGAAAUUUGAAGUCUGAAUCAGGAAUUAUGUAAGAGAUUAUAAUUUUUAUUAUAAGCACAAAAUUCCGUUUAGUUAGAUUCAUAAAGAAUAGUAGCACAAAUUGAUUACCAAUGAAAAAUCGUGUAAUAUAUUUAAGAUAACUAUGAAUCUAAAAGAUUGCAAGUUAGAAUUUAAUUUAUCUAUGUAUUUUGCAUUAUUAAUAAAUUUAGAUUAAAAGCUUAGAAAGAAAUUAAUAUUUAUAUAUAUAUGUAAUUUGCUAUUCUAUACUAUAUUGAUUUUGUAGUUCAUUUCUAAAAUAUAUAUUCUUUCUGGUAUUUAGAAAAAUAAUUCGUUAAUCAAAUUCACAUUUUAAUAAAAUUUUAACAUUUUGGAAAAUUUACAUAUCAUUAUUUAAAGCAACUUUUAUUUCAUUUAAAAUAAAUAACAAAAAGAAAUAUUAUUACAUUAGAUAAUUAUUUCCUGACAAUAUCAAAAUUUUCUAAAACUUUUAAAACUUCGCUUCGAGCAUCGCAAGUGAAACAAUUAACCGCACAAAAUUCCUCGCUCUAUCACGUUACCGAUCACGAUUAUUUUCGCAGAUAAUUGGAUUAUUACUCGCGGCGGUCAUCUCAUAAAAAUUAACCGCUUCAUUCGUAUCGCUGCCAUCGAUCAUUCAUUAUCCUUUUUUUCUUUUCCGAUAAAAUUCGUGUAUGUAGAAAUUAUCGCCAGGAUCCAGUGCCGCCUCUCGAUAGGCGGAAUCGACGGACGAGCGACCAAGUGCCGAAAAAGUAGAUCAACCAUGUAUUACUCGCUCGUAUAUUAUGUUUAAUGACGAUCCCUUCUCCUACGUUUCGAGUAAUUUUACGCGAUACUCAAUACUCGUGAUCGCCGCGGUUAUAUAUGCGGACCUAUCAUGGAGAAAUUGCGUCGGACAGUAGCCUGAAGGCCUGUGCAUGUCGUGACGUCGAAUGAUCGAUAAUUUAUGAAAAUGUUUAUAAAAAUUGUGUUAUGGAAUAUUUAUGAGUAAAUUUUUGAAAAUUUAUGUCUAUAAUUGUUGUUAUAAAUGUUUGUGAAGAUGUGUGAUACAAAUAUUUUUGAAAACUUGUAAAAAUUUGAAAAUUUUUUUUAAUUGAAAGGUGUUUUAUGAAGAUUUAUAAUACAAAUGUUUAUGAAAAUUUUAUAAUUUUUAUGUGAGGUGAAAGAUUUUAUAAUGAUAAGAAGAAAAUAUGUGUUCUAGAGAAGUAAAGUAUAAUGGAUUCUCUAUGAUGAUGAGAAA
This is a long non-coding RNA of Apis cerana (Asiatic honeybee), 1716 nucleotides long. RefSeq lists it as uncharacterized. The record is from RefSeq and is a predicted model, not a curated record. NCBI's taxonomy places the organism in Eukaryota, Metazoa, Arthropoda, Insecta, Hymenoptera, Apidae.